UCGCGGUUUCACCCAUACCUUUUUCACAUAUGCAAAUCUGCGAACAUUACGAAGCCGGACCGCGCACCUAUUUAUCGAGUAGCCCGUUACGUAAUCAGUAACGUGUCUAGUUAUUUAUGGUCAGGAACGUGAGGAAAGCUUCAGUAGCAAAUACAACAUAUUCGCGCGACAAGGACUCCGCCCGCGCUACUGUUCUACCUGCGGUGCGCGGCACCGUUACCGAACCGUGAAUGACUGAGCAUUGUUUCCUCAGGAGAUUCAUUGCCACAUCAAACGACGCCCACGAUUCAUCAAUGCCUUCUGCCGCCAAAAACUCAAAUCUCUGGUCCACUGUCACUCGUUAUUCAUCCCCUCACUUAUCCGCCGAAAAAAGCGCGCACUAUACCAGUUUACGUGGCCGCCGCCGCCGGCCCUGCGACACAUUAUGUAGAUGAUGUGCGCUCUUUUAUAGCAUCUCGGUGCUUUUUCGUCUUUGAGAACUAGUCACUAGCCAGCACGAAGGGCAGCGGCAGCAUCAACAGCAGCGCCAGCCAGUGGAGUAUCGAUUCCCACCAAAAAUCACGAACAAAGCGAGCCAAAAGCUGAUAUGGUAAAAAAUUGAACAAUUAAAAAAAAUGUAACGACUUUGCAGCUCUUGAGAGCGAAGACAGCGUAGCAAAGCACACGCCGAUCUGAUGACAACGUCAAAAAUAAUCGUAUGUAGGAAUCUGCCGGGAAAAGUUCCGUUGACUUCUGACUGCGCCGAAGAUCCCUCAACAUGACACAAAUGAAUAGCUGUCGUUAUACGCGUCAGUGAUGAUAGACAUGGUUUAUCAACUAUAGAAGAUUCGGAUCGUUGUGUGUGGCGUCAGCAAAGUACGAAAAAAAGCUUGUCAUUUUUGUGGGUUGGUGAUUGCGCUCGGAAGCGAAUAGUACAAUAUAUGUCGUCGUUGGGAUUGAAGUUGAUGCGAUUGACGCAGAAUGCUUUAUCGAACAUGCCUAGCUAAUAAGAAUACUGCAGAAGUCGCUCCGUUAGCGGUCGUUUUGUCCUUUUUAACUUUAAAGUGAUUAGCCCAGGGCAGCUGUUUUGCUGACCAGGGUUUAACAACACUCUCUCGAAGCGUAAUGUUCCAAUAUUGGUUCGAAUUUUUUGCCUGAGCGUGACAUCGUGGCAUUGAAGUGCUGGCUCAUACUUAACAAUGUUUACGAUAUAUAUAUAUAUAUAUUCUUUUUAUAUCAAUAUAUUUCUAUUCGCUUUGAUUGAAUGCUGGUCUAUUCAACCAUGAAGAACGUCCAAAGCUUUGUUUCUGUUCGGUUACAUCGCAUUUCCCCUAUACCAGAGCAACGCAUACUAAGAGUCAUACAUACAUGGGUAAAGCUGGCGGUUAUAAUGGCAGUUGACAGAAGAGAAGUCGAAUUUUUAAGAUAGAAAAAAUAAAUACAUUUCCCGCCGAUUUUCAACGCCGUAUUCGAAAUGAUCUAAGACCCAUUUAUAAAGUAACGCUGUUGCCGAUCAAUCUUGUUCAUGCUCCGGUAUCUUGCAGCCGCCAGUCAAGCGACAAGCCGAUACAGACUAAAUACUGCACAAAUAAUCGCCUGUAGAAAUAUGCAUUCGCAUGAGAAGUCUACAUCUAUCUGCGUAUAACAAGGGAUCACAGUAACAUAAUCGAAGCAUUGCCUGUUUGUUAACCGCAAAAACAUCCGUAUGAAGUCAGACAUUGGCGGGUAAUCAAACCCGCCGAACAAACACAUGUAUCCAUGUCGAUCGUACACAUCGUACAAACAGCAAGGUACCCAUUAAUCACUACCCACAUCUGCACUAUAUCAUCGUAAUACACGAUGCCCACAACCUAGCCAGCCAGACAGCCAAGCCAUAGCUUCAUCCUCGCUCGCUUUCUCCAUUAAAGCAGCUCAGCCAGCUUCUCCUUACUAGCUUAAAUGUUCGUUCGCCCGCACAAAUGCACCUCAUUCUACUCUCAGCAGCAUCAGCAGGAUAAUCAUCAUUAUCAUCACUACAAUCAGAGACCAUUGCCGCUAUCGUCGUCAUCAUCAUCAUUAUCACCAGCGUUGUUAGUUGUUACGUGCAUAAAACGUUUCGCUUAGAAGUGUUUAAGUUGACGACCAGCAGAGCGUUGUUAUUAAACUGGCUAGUGCUACUACGUUUCGCCCUUGAGAUGAAAGAGAGCGGGAACGCGACGGCAAACGUAAUGCUAGGCAGGCAGGCUGGCUGACCGACUGGCUAACUGAUCGGCUGUAAGCAAUGCUCCGUUGUAGCAACGCUCUCUAUGACGUAGUUACUAGCUGCGGCAAUAGUGGCAUUAUAGCAGUAUUCGGAAGCGAGCAUAUGGGAAGACUUACCUGGUUUCCUACGCAGCGGGGGGCCUUUGUCCAUGUCAAUAGAAGAGACAACGGUAGCACUAAAAUAACGAAAUUGUAUAGAAUACGAGCAAACGGAUAAAAAGACGCGACGAAGAAUGAACAACUAUAAUUGUCUGCUGGUCGCCCCCCAAACUGUUAGUACGAUCCGUGUACAGCGGAAGUCCUGCUCCAGCUGCUGCUACAGUUGCCGUCGGUAAUAUUGGUGGCGAGCUUAACAGCACGAAGUAUAUGACGGUGUUUGGCAAUAUUUUCGACGCUUGCAUGUCAUGUAUCCACCGUAGAGAUCGUUUCUCGUCUGUUUCGGCAUUAAUAUAAUAGUGGCUCUGGCAACAACGAGACUGUUUUGCAGCGCUAAUGACGUCUUGUCGCGAAGAGCAGCGAAAAAUGAACAGGGAAAGAAAUAACAGGGGAGGUACGUUUACCGUUAUCGGGAGCCCCAUAUCAAUAACGUAGCCCAAACAGAGUGGGUCGGAUUCAAGCAUGGGAGCAGGAGUCUUCGAUAAAGCUAAGGAAGAACAAGGAAUCGCGCAAGGCAUGGUCCAACUGAGCUAGCUAGCUAGCUCAUUAUCUAACAAGAAAUGCUGGUUUGAGUUUAUGCUUCUACUUGAUGAAUAAUGAGGUUAUCGCUUAAGGAAAGUCAAACACACAGUGUGGAGGGAAAACAUGUUACAGCUCGCAGUCAUCUACAUAUAGAAGCAAUUUUAUCAGUUUGCCUAUAGGACCUCAAACACCCCCACAACAAGUACUUAUAGAUAGAGAAGUAAUAAACCCAGCGAUUAGCAAGGGAACAGCGCUCAAUACCAGCUGCUAUUGUGUUCUUUCUCGACCCAUUACGUCUAGAAGUAGGCGCGUUCCACCCGCCAGUUGCAACGCCAUUACAAUGCGACAUAGACAAAAUAGUUUUGAUCAUGAACUGAUCCGGACCAGUUAGGUCGACUACAUGUCAAUUAGCAACCUUAAACCAAACUGAUGAUGAAGUAGUCAUAGGCAAUAUCACUGAGCCCCACUGAACCAGUUCCGUUCAUUGCUAGACAGCUUGCUCGAUAGCAGUUCGCGCGUACGGUUGACGAAAACGAGAAAAAAAUCGCUUUAUACCACGAAAUGGUCUCGUUAAUAUUAAAAAAAAACAUUACGAACGGAAGAAUCACUGAUAGAAUUCAAAAUGCUCACUCAAGCCUCAAUAUAUACACAAGAAAUUGUAUUAUUUUGACUACUCGUAUAUCGCUUACGCAUAGCGAUUCGCCUGUAAAGCGGUUCAUACGACCUGUAUCGAUUCGUUUGUUAGUACGAUGCGUCUGCUUCAUUGUCGGUCAACACUGUGGGAACAUUAAAGCAGAUAAGAUAUUCGGAGAUAACACGUAAAUAUAUAGACGAACAGCAAGACACGAGAUAUCAUAUACCUAUAAAUAGAAAAAAAUGUUCUCAACAUUCACAUAUAAUGGCCGCCAUACCAACAAUCCAAUCAAGUAUGACAAAACCAUCAACAACAGCAACAUCAGCAUCUGUCGCUAAUUUUAGCAUUGAAAAUUUUCCGUACAAUAAAGAUAACAAGGCGUUUUCGGUGAGCUGCUGACAUCCAUCGCAGCGAACCUUACCCAACUACAGAUUUGCAAAAUAAGCCAAGCAACACCGUUAUGCCACAAGUCAAACACAGUUUCGUUUGCAUGCGAGAUUUUCUUUGAAACAAAUUUUCGAAAUCUAGUAACCUACUCAAAGGUAUCGUCCUGUCUCGUUUCACCUUAGCUUUCAUCCAGUACGCCUUUGAGCGGUAGCACUACUGGACGAAUGGUUAGUUAUACAAUAAGUAACCAUUCUUAGGUACGAUUUCAUUCUUUCGUGUCGCUUGACCCCCUCCCCCUUCAUAGCAGUUAGCUUGCUGGCGGCUGGCCAGCUGAUUACUCUGUAUUCCAUGUAUUACGGAUGAUUCUGCCGAACAUCACAAAUGUACUCUGUCGCUAUAGCACAGACUCGAUGUGAUGGCCUGCAUGAACCUGUCCACUUACUCGCUCGUAUGUUCACCACAGAUGCAAUC
Molecule: long non-coding RNA, 4390 nt
Organism: Varroa destructor (honeybee mite)
Lineage: Eukaryota; Metazoa; Arthropoda; Arachnida; Mesostigmata; Varroidae
Source: RefSeq, a predicted model, not a curated record